AGUUCAAAACUCUCUUAAAUAACACCAGUAAUGCAUGAAUGAGAAGACCAUUCCCGGAACGCCGCAAAGUNNNNNUCACAGAAUCACGAAUCUGCAAACCAGCGCAACAUCUGACCUGCCGAUCCAUGAGACCCCGUGUGGAACUUGGCACCCACGCAGGACGGCCAGCGGGAGGGAGACUGCAGAUCUGGAAAAAGAGAAACACAAGAAGAUAAAUAAAAGUGUGUGUGUUUUUUUUAAAGUUCCCCAACAUUUGCUUAAUCCGCCACUGUUCUUCUUUCUAUGUUNNNNNNNNNNNNNNNNNCAGGGCUGUCUCUGAUUUUGAAUACAUGCAAAGAGACUUAGAUAAAAUCCCAUUCCAAAGAGGAGCCGGUUUCAGAGAAAGGGACUUUAACACAAGGAUUCUAAUAACACAUUUGGGGAUGGGACAGGGUUUCUGAGUCCCAGGGACCUACUUUUCUGUGUACAGGAUUCCCGGCCUUGGAAGAGGGCUAAAAGGCAAACGUGACUCUUAAACAAUUUAGAACUUCUGUGCUAAACACUGUGCAGCUGGGUGUCAGAAGACGGUCCCCAGGGUAGGUCCUAACACGCCCCAGCUGCGGCUGUGCCCCUGUGAGUCGGCAGGGGGCGGGGCCGAGAGGACCCCACGGAGGCGCUGGAUGCGAGCAAGCGCUGGAUGCGAGCAAGCGCGGUGAUGCUGGGGGCACUUCCCCCAGGCCUUCUAAACAGAUGAAGGAGAAACCAGGGCGUUCGCUCUCGCAAGAGAUGACGCCUCCAGGUGUCUGUCUGCACAGCAAGCGAGGGGCUGCUCUUCCAGUGACUGCGGACCCAUGGCUACUGUUGUGAGGAGCUUAGAAAUCACGGGGAAGCAGAGCUUGGCGAGGGCGAGACAAAUAUCUGGGUCCCCUCUACCCAGAAUGGACCACGGACCUGUUAUUAUCCACUCUUUUCAAAAAAAUCAAACAAAAUGGAGUAUAGGUAUCAUCUCCUUGACCUACUCCAAGGUCCGAUCACCAAUUUGUUUGUAUCUUUCCAGUAGGCUUUUUUUUUUCCCCUUUAAACAUUUACAAUAUGAGUCCCCAGGACAAGGAACAGUGUGUGUUUGUAACUCACGUGUACGAUAUGCAUCUAAGUACACGUAUCUGUUGUUCUCCAUUUGGGCUCAGUGUUACGUGUGUGACCUGACUGUGUUGAGAGUGCUAAGUUUUCGCUCAGCCUUAGCUCACUGCCUUUCCACCAAGCACCAUCAAAGCCGCUUUCAUGCCACUAAACUGUGUGCUGCUUGUGUGUGUGUGUGCGUGCAUACGCAGGUGUGCAUGUGCAAGUUUUCUCGGCAUCUCCACUCAGCUCCUCAAGAUGCUGCUCUUUCUUCUAUACUCUGGCUCCACGAAGAGUGAACAUUAGGCGUGUUAAAAGGCAAAACGUUUGCUGAAAAUUCACAUGCUUAUUAUAAAUCUUCUUCCCUUUUCAAUCAAUAUCAAGGAAUUGACAAGGCAGGAAGAAGGUUGUGUCUGUAACUGCUGCGGCUUUAAAU
RNAcentral lists this long non-coding RNA (1534 nucleotides) under Capra hircus (goat). Its description in RNAcentral is "lncRNA (ENSCHIG00010028197.1)". The record is from RNAcentral. Lineage: Eukaryota; Metazoa; Chordata; Mammalia; Artiodactyla; Bovidae.